GGGGAUUUAGCUCAGUGGUAGAGCACUUGUCUAUCAAGCGCAAGGCCCUGGGUUCGGUCCCCAGCUCCG
Molecule: transfer RNA, 69 nt
Filed under: Rattus norvegicus (Norway rat)
Lineage: Eukaryota; Metazoa; Chordata; Mammalia; Rodentia; Muridae
Rfam family: tRNA
About the family: Transfer RNA (tRNA) molecules are approximately 80 nucleotides in length.
Source: Rfam by way of RNAcentral